Molecule: long non-coding RNA, 1766 nt
Organism: Cataglyphis hispanica
Lineage: Eukaryota; Metazoa; Arthropoda; Insecta; Hymenoptera; Formicidae
Exons: 3
Source: RefSeq, a predicted model, not a curated record
UAUAUUACAUCAUCAAGACAAAGAGAUAACAAUACCAAUGGCAUCUCGCGUAUAUACAGAAAGUGUAUAGAAAAUAUAGGCGGGAGAAAUUUCAGAAAAGAGGUUUGAGAAAGCGAGAAACGCAUGAUUGUGGGCAUUCCAAUAUGUUUGGAAACGUGAAUGCGCACAAACUAAUGUUCGGAUCGUAUUUAUGCUCCUUUCGGCGAAAUGCAAAUGUGUUAAAAGAUGUAUAAAAAGAGAGACGCGUAUGCACAUAGUAAAAUGAAUUUCCAGGAAUUAGCAUAUAUUAAAAUCCAUUUUACUGUGUUUUCUCGUGUUUUCAAGUCGGACAUUUAAAAUUAUCUCAAAUAGAAACCUAUCAUGUAUCGGAUAUUAAAAUUACAUCAUAGAAUGCUAAAGUUUCACCACUGAUAUGCGUGAAAUAUCAAUGCACACUAUUACUACGAGAUAUACUAAAUAGUUUCGAUUAUUGUUUUUAAAUGUUAAUUUAAAUUUCGCAAAAAAAUGUUAAUGUAGAAGUUUAAAUUCGUUAUGGGUUUAUUUCAUCACAUGAUACAUCGUUAUUUUUGGUUGACCAGUUAAGUGUAUAUCAUAUACAUUUUAUACAGAGAAUGGACCAAGAAUUCUCAAGUACCAAAAGAGCUCUUUAAUUAUUCCACAUGCGCGAGUGUGUGUUUGCAUUCACAAUGUGCGCAAAAAAUGAACAGGUUUUCACAAAAAGACUCUUAUAAUAUACAUUCUUGUAGCAAUAAGCAAAUAUGCAUGAGAGUUAAGCAGAAUGCAGUCAAAGUUUUUAAAUAUCUCGCAUUUUUCUUACUAAUAAAUUAAACAUUUGACGUUUCUUUUAAAUGUAUUAAACUUAACAUUGAAAUUUAGACAGGAAUCAAGACGGAAAUAGGAAGAGAUGUCUGAAUAUAAUAAGAGAAACUGUACGAUACAUGAUCAAUGGAGAUUCGAAGAUAUUAAAAAUGAUGUGCAAGAGCUGACAUACAGAGAGAAAGUAGCACCUGCGAAGAUUCUUCCCAGUGACCUUAUAAUCGAUAACAACCCGAAAACAUAACGAUGCAUAACAUAAAUUAUCAAGAGAGGUGCCCGCGAUCAUGGAUGUCAAAAAGAUUCGUUUAAUGGUAAAGUGGAAAGUGAAGGUACACGUACCAGUGCACGUUGGCAAUGACGUUGUUUUCUUGCUCAGAUUGUUAAUUAUAUACUUCUUUGUUCGUGCGUACAAUAUUAUUGAUAAAAAUAUUGGCCAUGAAGAGAGGAGUAAAAAGAGAAAAGAGUAUGCCGGAGAAUGCUCCUUGAAGGAUACCAUCGACCCAAAGAAAAGAAGCAAAAAUAACACGUUAAUGACGAUAUGCUAGAAUUGAUCAGACGUAAUUCCAAGGAAUUAACAAGAAGCCAGACGUCGAAGCAAUAUAUAUAAGAAUCUAAUGUUAGACAAUCGUCUUGGAAUUUCGCAAUUUUUGGAAAGUAACUCUGUUGCUAAGUGUGGACGAUACGUCAAGAAUUGCUAUGCGAGUAACAAAAGGAAUUUUAUUAUCAGUAUCAACAAAAAUUUAAAUUAAAAUUUCGCAAUAUCCGGAAAACGGUUAUUAUAUGUUAAGUAACAAAGAAAUAUCAGAGAGAAAUGUCGCGCGGCGCCAAGCGAGAAUUUAAACAGUUUCUCUCAUUUUCCGACUUUCCCAUGCGGAUGGAUAUAAUCCGAUUUAUCAGAACAGGAACAAAUUAACAGAGAGAAAGGUGAUCGAUGUCGGGAAUAAGCGAGG